GACGAACGCUGGCGGCGUGCUUAACACAUGCAAGUCGAACGGAGCGCCAUGGAAUGAGGUUUCGGCCAAAGGAAAUGGUUGCUUAGUGGCGGACUGGUGAGUAACGCGUGAGGAACCUGCCUUUCAGAGGGGGACAACAGUUGGAAACGACUGCUAAUACCGAAUACGCUUGGGAGACCGCAUGAUCUACCAAGGAAAGGGUGGCCUCUACCUGUAAGCUAUCGCCUGAAGAGGGGUUUGCGUCUGAUUAGGCAGUUGGUGAGGUAACGGCCCACCAAACCUACGAUCAGUAGCCGGUCUGAGAGGAUGAACGGCCACACUGGAACUGAGACACGGUCCAGACUCCUACGGGAGGCAGCAGUGGGGAAUCUUCCGCAAUGGGCGAAAGCCUGACGGAGCAACGCCGCGUGAGUGAUGACGGCCUCGG
RNAcentral lists this ribosomal RNA (427 nucleotides) under uncultured bacterium. RNAcentral's name for it is "bacterial SSU rRNA". It matches the Rfam family "Bacterial small subunit ribosomal RNA", at positions 28 to 420 of the family's 1533-position model. The record is from RNAcentral.